Molecule: non-coding RNA, 74 nt
Filed under: Schizochytrium aggregatum
Lineage: Eukaryota; Bigyra; Thraustochytrida; Thraustochytriidae
Source: RNAcentral
UUUUUUUUUUUUUUUUUUUUUUUUUUUUUUUUUUUCCAAAUGGAAAAAGGCAUCGUGAUUCUUACAAAAAGUGA